RNAcentral lists this ribosomal RNA (301 nucleotides) under uncultured bacterium. RNAcentral describes it as "partial 16S ribosomal RNA". It matches the Rfam family "Bacterial small subunit ribosomal RNA", at positions 509 to 807 of the family's 1533-position model. The record is from RNAcentral.
CAGCAGCCGCGGUAAUACGUAGGUGGCAAGCGUUGUCCGGAAUUAUUGGGCGUAAAGGGCUCGCAGGCGGUUUCUUAAGUCUGAUGUGAAAGCCCCCGGCUCAACCGGGGAGGGUCAUUGGAAACUGGGAAACUUGAGUGCAGAAGAGGGGAGUGGAAUUCCACGUGUAGCGGUGAAAUGCGUAGAGAUGUGGAGGAACACCGGUGGCGAAGGCGACUCUCUGGUCUGUAACUGACGCUGAGGAGCGAAAGCGUGGGGAGCGAACAGGAUUAGAGACCCCCGUAGUCCCUGUCUCUUAUAC